GAUGAACGCUGGCGGUGUGCCUAACACAUGCAAGUCGAGCGAACGGACGAGAAGAUUGCUUCUUUGCGGUUAGCGGCGGACGGGUGAGUAACAAGUGGAUAACCUUCUUAUUAUACUGGGAUGACUUCGGGAAACAACUGCUACUAACAGAUCAUAUUUCGAACCGCAUGGAUCAAGAGUGAUUGACGGUUUUCGUGUUACUUUUAGAUGGAUCCGGGUUGGAUUAGCUAGUUGGUAAGGUAACGGCCUACCAAGGCAACGAUGCGUAGCCGACCUGAGAGGAUGAUCGGCCACACUGGAACUGAGACACGGUCCAGACUCCUACGGGAGGCAGCAGUAGGGAAUCUUCCGCAAUGGGCGCAAGCCUGAUCGAGCCACACCGCGUGAGUGAAGAAGGUCUUCGGGUCGUAAAGCUCUGUUGUUAGGGAAGAAAAGAAGUGUAAGUAUCUGUGGAUGUCCUGACGGUACCCAAUGAAUAAGCACCGGCUAACUACGUG
RNAcentral lists this ribosomal RNA (497 nucleotides) under uncultured bacterium. Its description in RNAcentral is "partial 16S ribosomal RNA". It matches the Rfam family "Bacterial small subunit ribosomal RNA", at positions 28 to 507 of the family's 1533-position model. The record is from RNAcentral.